AGGCUGAUACCGCCCAAGAGUUCAUAUCGACGGCGGUGUUUGGCACCUCGAUGUCGGCUCAUCACAUCCUGGGGCUGAAGUCGGUCCCAAGGGUAUGGCUGUUCGCCAUUUAAAGUGGUACGCGAGCUGGGUUUAGAACGUCGUGAGACAGUUCGGUCCCUAUCUGCCGUGGGCGUUGGAAGAUUGAAGGGGGCUGCUCCUAGUACGAGAGGACCGGAGUGGACGAACCUCUGGUGUUCGGGUUGUGUCGCCAGACGCAUUGCCCGGUAGCUAAGUUC
This 278-nucleotide ribosomal RNA is filed under the name Vibrio cholerae. Its description in RNAcentral is "partial 23S ribosomal RNA". It matches the Rfam family "Bacterial large subunit ribosomal RNA", at positions 2479 to 2756 of the family's 2925-position model. Lineage: Bacteria; Pseudomonadati; Pseudomonadota; Gammaproteobacteria; Vibrionales; Vibrionaceae. The record is from RNAcentral.